RNAcentral lists this ribosomal RNA (250 nucleotides) under uncultured bacterium. RNAcentral describes it as "partial 16S ribosomal RNA". It matches the Rfam family "Bacterial small subunit ribosomal RNA", at positions 355 to 618 of the family's 1533-position model. The record is from RNAcentral.
UCGAGAAUCUUCCGCAAUGGACGAAAGUCUGACGGAGCGACGCCGCGUGAUUGAUGAAGCUUUUCGGAGUGUAAAGAUCUUUUAUGAGGGAAGAAGUUUAUUGACGGUACCUCAUGAAUAAGGGGCUCCUAAUCUCGUGCCAGCAGGAGCGGUAAUACGAGAGCCCCGAGCGUUAUCCGGAAUUAUUGGGCGUAAAGGGUGCGUAGGUGGUAGUGUUAGUCGUUUGUCAAAUCCUCGGGCUUAACCCGAG